CCUGGUGGCUCAGCUGGUAAAGAAUCUGCCUACAAUGCAGGAAACCCAGGUUCGAUCCCUGGGUCAGGA
RNAcentral lists this transfer RNA (69 nucleotides) under Ovis aries (sheep). It matches the Rfam family "tRNA". Rfam says of the family: Transfer RNA (tRNA) molecules are approximately 80 nucleotides in length. Their secondary structure includes four short double-helical elements and three loops (D, anti-codon, and T loops). The record is from Rfam by way of RNAcentral. Lineage: Eukaryota; Metazoa; Chordata; Mammalia; Artiodactyla; Bovidae.